This 468-nucleotide ribosomal RNA is filed under the name uncultured bacterium. Its description in RNAcentral is "partial 16S ribosomal RNA". It matches the Rfam family "Bacterial small subunit ribosomal RNA", at positions 28 to 507 of the family's 1533-position model. The record is from RNAcentral.
GACGAACGCUGGCGGCGUGCUUAACACAUGCAAGUCGAACGGAAAGGCCCUGCUUUUGUGGGGUGCUCGAGUGGCGAACGGGUGAGUAACACGUGAGUAACCUGCCCUUGACUUUGGGAUAACUUCAGGAAACUGGGGCUAAUACCGGAUAGGAGCUCCUGCUGCAUGGUGGGGGUUGGAAAGUUUCGGCGGUUGGGGAUGGACUCGCGGCUUAUCAGCUUGUUGGUGGGGUAGUGGCUUACCAAGGCUUUGACGGGUAGCCGGCCUGAGGGGGUGACCGGCAACAUUGGGACUGAGAUACGGCCAAGACUCCUACGGGAGGCAGAGGUGGGGAAUAUGGAAAAAUGGGCGGAAGCCGAAUGCAGCAACGCCGCGUGCGGGAGGACGGCCUUCGGGUUGUAAACCGCUUUCGCCUGGGACGAAGCGUGAGUGACGGUAAUGGGUAAAGAAGCACCGGCUAACUACGUG